Molecule: small RNA, 125 nt
Filed under: Marmota monax (woodchuck)
Lineage: Eukaryota; Metazoa; Chordata; Mammalia; Rodentia; Sciuridae
Source: RNAcentral
GCCAGGUGCGGUGGCACACACCUGUAAUCCCAGCAGCUCGGGAGGCUGAGACAGGAGGAUCCCAAGUUCAAAGCCAGCCUCAGCAAGGGCGAGGCUCUAAGCAACUCAGUGAGACCCUGUCUCUA